AAUUGAAUUAUUGGGGUUCUUUGAUAUGCCAAAUCUAACCGUGUUUUUAGAUUUUUAAUUUGGGUCCCGUUUUUUAAAUUGGUCUUCAUUGAGGUCCAAAGGGUCCAAAAUUAAACUUAGUUUGAUUUUAACAAAAAUUGAAUUCUUGGGGUUCUUUGAUAUGCUGAAUCUAAACAUGUGUUUAGAUUUUUGAUUAUGGGCCCAGUUUUCAAGUUGGUCCAAGAUAGGGUCCAGUAUUUAAACUUUGUUUGAUUUCAACAAAAAUUGAAUAUAUGGGGUUCUUUGAUAUGCUGAAUCUAAACAUGUAUUUAGAUUUUUGAUUUUUGGCCCAGUUUUCAAGUUGGUCCAAAUUGAGGUCCAAAAUUAAACUUUGUUUGAUUUCAACAAAAAUUGAAUAUAUGGGGUUCUUUGAUAUGCUGAAUCUAACCAUGUAUUUAGAUUUUUUAUUUGUGGACCCUGUUAUCUAAUUGGUUCAUAUUGAGGUCAAAAGGGUCCAAAAUUAAACUUUGUUUGAUUUCAUCUAAAAUUGAAUUAUUGGGGUUCUUUGAUAUUCCAAAUCUAACCGUGUAUUUAGGUUUUUAAUUUUGGGUCCUGUUUUUUAAAUUGGUCUACAUUGAGGUCCAAAGGGUCCAAAAUUAAACUUAGUUUGAUUUUAACAAAAAUUGAAUUCUUGGGGUUCUUUGAUAUGCUGAAUCUAAACAUGUGUUUAGAUUUUUGAUUAUGGGCCCAGUUUUCAAGUUGGUCCAAGUUGGGGUCCAAAAUUAUAUUUUUUUUUAUUUCAACAAAAAUUGAAUAUAUGGGGUUCUUUGAUAUGCUGAAUCUAACCAUGUAUUUUGAUUUUGGACAUUGGACCAUAAUAGGUAAAUUAAAAAAAUUCAAGUUCUUAGACCACAUUCUUUCUGUGUCAGAAACCUAUGCUGUG
Long non-coding RNA from Mytilus californianus (California mussel), 922 nucleotides. RefSeq lists it as uncharacterized. The transcript has 3 exons. NCBI's taxonomy places the organism in Eukaryota, Metazoa, Mollusca, Bivalvia, Mytilida, Mytilidae. The record is from RefSeq and is a predicted model, not a curated record.